UGAACCGAUAAGUAUAACGUUCUGGAGAUCGUUUUGUUGUGCGGUGUGUAAGCCCUGGAUAUACAGGGAAACCUAAAGCACAUCAUAGAUCCCCGCCAUUUAGUUGGUUGGGCUCA
RNAcentral lists this small RNA (116 nucleotides) under Legionellaceae bacterium. RNAcentral describes it as "6S RNA". It matches the Rfam family "6S / SsrS RNA", at positions 37 to 150 of the family's 187-position model. From Rfam's summary of the family: E. coli 6S RNA was the first non coding RNA to be sequenced, but its function was unknown until recently. It consists of 184 nucleotides that fold into an extended hairpin structure with a large single-stranded internal bulge. The 6S RNA specifically associates with RNA polymerase holoenzyme containing the sigma70 specificity factor. Lineage: Bacteria; Pseudomonadati; Pseudomonadota; Gammaproteobacteria; Legionellales; Legionellaceae. The record is from RNAcentral.